Molecule: ribosomal RNA, 285 nt
Filed under: uncultured Pseudomonas sp.
Lineage: Bacteria; Pseudomonadati; Pseudomonadota; Gammaproteobacteria; Pseudomonadales; Pseudomonadaceae
Description: partial 16S ribosomal RNA
Rfam family: Bacterial small subunit ribosomal RNA
Source: RNAcentral
AACCCUUGUCCUUAGUUACCAGCACGGUUUAUGGUGGGCACUCUAAGGAGACUGCCGGUGACAAACCGGAGGAAGGUGGGGAUGACGUCAAGUCAUCAUGGCCCUUACGGCCUGGGCUACACACGUGCUACAAUGGUCGGUACAAAGGGUUGCCAAGCCGCGAGGUGGAGCUAAUCCCAUAAAACCGAUCGUAGUCCGGAUCGCAGUCUGCAACUCGACUGCGUGAAGUCGGAAUCGCUAGUAAUCGUGAAUCAGAAUGUCACGGUGAAUACGUUCCCGGGCCUU